RNAcentral lists this ribosomal RNA (497 nucleotides) under uncultured bacterium. RNAcentral's name for it is "partial 16S ribosomal RNA". It matches the Rfam family "Bacterial small subunit ribosomal RNA", at positions 28 to 507 of the family's 1533-position model. The record is from RNAcentral.
GAUGAACGCUGGCGGCGUGCCUAAUACAUGCAAGUCGAGCGAAAAGAUGAGGAGCUUGCGCCCCUGACGUUAGCGGCGGACGGGUGAGUAACACGUGGAUAACCUACCUAUAAGACUGGGAUAAUAUCGGGAAACCGGAGCUAAUACCGGAUAAUAUAUCGAACCGCAUGGUUCAAUAGUGAAAGACGGUUUUGCUGUCACUUAUAGAUGGAUCCGCGCCGCAUUAGCUAGUUGGUAAGGUAACGGCUUAGCAAGGCAACGAUGCGUAGCCGACCUGAGAGGGUGAUCGGCCACACUGGAACUGAGACACGGUCCAGACUCCUACGGGAGGCAGCAGUAGGGAAUCUUCCGCAAUGGGCGAAAGCUUGACGGAGCAACGCCGCGUGAGUGAUGAAGGUCUUCGGAUCGUAAAGCUCUGUUGUUAGGAAAGAACAAAUGUGUAAGUAACUAUGCACGUCUUGACGGUACCUAAUGAAUAAGCCACGGCUAACUCCGUG